RNAcentral lists this ribosomal RNA (439 nucleotides) under uncultured bacterium. RNAcentral's name for it is "bacterial SSU rRNA". It matches the Rfam family "Bacterial small subunit ribosomal RNA", at positions 959 to 1397 of the family's 1533-position model. The record is from RNAcentral.
ACGCGCGGAACCUUACCAGGUCUUGACAUCCCGCUGACCGCUAUGGAGACAUAGCUUUCCCUUCGGGGACAGCGGUGACAGGUGGUGCAUGGUUGUCGUCAGCUCGUGUCGUGAGAUGUUGGGUUAAGUCCCGCAACGAGCGCAACCCUUGUUCUUAGUUGCCAUCAUUAAGUUGGGCACUCUAAGGUGACUGCCGGUGACAAACCGGAGGAAGGUGGGGAUGACGUCAAAUCAUCAUGCCCCUUAUGACCUGGGCUACACACGUGCUACAAUGGAUGGUACAAAGGGCAGCAAAGCGGUGACGCCUAGCAAAUCCCAUAAAACCAUUCUCAGUUCGGAUUGUAGGCUGCAACUCGCCUACAUGAAGCUGGAAUCGCUAGUAAUCGCGGAUCAGCAUGCCGCGGUGAAUACGUUCCCGGGCCUUGCACACACCGCCCGU